This 1745-nucleotide long non-coding RNA is filed under the name Numida meleagris (helmeted guineafowl). RNAcentral describes it as "lncRNA (ENSNMEG00000014847.1)". Lineage: Eukaryota; Metazoa; Chordata; Aves; Galliformes; Numididae. The record is from RNAcentral.
GCCGGACAUUUUUGGGAAUGAAUUCCUAAUUUUUCACGGCUUGCCGGAGCCGCAGGCCGGCAGAUGGCAUCACGCUCAUGCCGUUGGGUGAUAGCCGGCUCUGCCACGACUCUCAGCUGUGCAAAAUAUUGCUCGGCGCCUUGCCCGUGCAGUCUGCAAGGAGGGUGCCAAAGAGCAGAGCUUGCACCUUCAAGCCAAAGCAGCCGGGUUUGCUUGUGAUCGUCCGCCUGUGUGAUUCCUCCAGCAGUGACCAGCAAUGGGGUAAAGAGCACUUGGACGAGAUCAGAAAAAUCUGGUGUCUGCAGCAGCACGCAGCCCAUCCUUUCUGCACUGCUGCGUGGAUGGCGGCGGAGGAGCCACGGCCUAAUCUUGAACUCGUUAAAAAACAAUGGGAGUCUUUUUAUUGCCUUCAUCUGGCUUUUAAUGAAUGACCUCUUGUCGCCAGGAGCUACGUGCGGUGACAAAGGGUCUUUGUGGGCUGAUAUUUAUGAUUUCAUUUAAGCCGGGGAGUAAGCUAAAGGGAGAGGGCUGGGAAAUAAGAGCUGAGCUGAUGUUUCCUGCUUUAAACUCAAGGGAUCUUUAUCCCGAGUUUUUGUAUUAAUCCAGUUGUCAUCUCUUAAAUAUUUGAGCAACUCACAGCCACGAGCGCUCGCGCGUUGGCAGAACACAAAGGUCACGGCUCGGUGACACAGCAGGGAAGGACUCUCCCAAUCCCCACACAUUUCUUCAGUCCUUAGCACUAGGAUUUAGGGGAGGAUUUGCAUUUCCCUCGUCCUCCCGCCCUCAAAUUGCAUACACAUGGAGCACACCGAGCCCUGCUGCGAGUGUGCAACCCGCUGGUGUGCAGCCCCAGGCUCAGCCCGGCCACGGGGUCCCAACCUCCUUGCCCCACUACUCCCCAGUGCUGAUAAAUGUGUGCCUUUUCCCUGGACAGGGUUCAGCGAUGGAUUAAGCAGCUGGGAGUCUGGAGGAGAGCGCGGCCCCUCUCUUUUGCCAUGCAAACAGAGAAAAUUAAUCUUCCAGCUUCCUCUGAUAUUUGGGCUAAAUUACAAGCUGGGAGCGGAGAUAAAGGACGGGUGAAGGAAGGCACAGGUACAGCGGAGAGCCAGGCUGCCUGGCACAGGCCCUUGUCCGUGCAGAUAACAGCUCUCCUCCCCGUGUCAUGCAUAAUUCACCAGCGCUGCCUCCCUCGGUCCUGGUCAUCUCUUUCUGUUUUCUCUCCUCCAGAAACCAGCAGCCUCCCCGUCCAUGCAAACCCGUGCAUCUCGUCCAGGCUACGCAUGGAUUCAGGAAGGGGAGUAAGCACGGGUGUGCACCCAGAAAAGCAGCAGCAACGUGCAGUCCUCAGCUGCAGCAGCACAGUGCUCUGCUGGUUUGGGAGACCCGGACACCAACCCAGGCAAACCAUGGCAGCACAUCAGCUUCUGCAGGAGGCUAAAGGGGGAUUUCAUCUGCCCAUCACAUUUCAGCUCUGGUUUGCUGCACAGGAGCAUCCCCACAUUCUGCAUGACACUGGUGAACAGGAUCCCGCCGGCCUCAGGAGAGCACUGAGCCACGGCUCUGCUAUCGAUCCCCCGAUCAAUGACAAUUCAAGGCCUGGAAAUGACUGUCCUCAAUUCCCACCCAAGGCUGUGCACAGGGAGGAGGGAGCUCCCUCGGAGGCUGAGCAGGAACCCAAAGCAGGAGCAGAGAUGGGAAGAGGCUCUCUUGUGGCAGGUGGGUUGUUUAACAAAUUGGACACAUAA